AACGAACGCUGGCGGCGUGCCUAACACAUGCAAGUCGAGCGCGAAAAGGGCAACCUGAGUAGAGCGGCGCGCGGGUGCGUAACACGUGGGUAAUCUGCCUUAGAGUCGAGGAUAACCUUCCGAAAGGUUGGCUAAUACUCGGUAAGCUUACGGUGUCUUCGGACGCUGUGGGAAAAGUAGGCCUCUGUUUACAAGCUUACGCUCUGAGAUGAGCCCGCGGCCCAUCAGCUAGUUGGCGGUGUAACGGACCACCAAGGCAACGACGGGUAGCUGGUCUGAGAGGACGAUCAGCCACACUGGAACUGAGACACGGUCCAGACUCCUACGGGAGGCAGCAGGGGGGAAUUUUCCACAAUGGGCGAAAGCCUGAUGGAGCAACGCCGCGUGUGUGAUGAAGGUUUUCGGUUCGUAAAGCACUUUCGACCGGGACGAAAAACCUCUGGCUAACAUCCAGGGGCCUGACGGUACCGGGAGAAGAAGCACCGGCUAACUCUGUGCCAGCCGCCGCGGUAA
RNAcentral lists this ribosomal RNA (513 nucleotides) under uncultured bacterium. Its description in RNAcentral is "partial 16S ribosomal RNA". It matches the Rfam family "Bacterial small subunit ribosomal RNA", at positions 29 to 523 of the family's 1533-position model. The record is from RNAcentral.